Sardina pilchardus (European sardine) is the source of this 1631-nucleotide long non-coding RNA. RefSeq lists it as uncharacterized. The transcript is spliced from 4 exons. Lineage: Eukaryota; Metazoa; Chordata; Actinopteri; Clupeiformes; Clupeidae. The record is from RefSeq and is a predicted model, not a curated record.
GCAAACUUCAUUGAUUUAAAGUUGAAAAUUGGUCAGAUUGGUUGAUGUUUGGUUGAAUUUAAAAAGUCAACAUCAAUUCAAUGUUUAAGUGUAAUCAUAAUUUCAACAUUGAAAAACUGGCGUUGAAUCAACAUUGCUUAAAGGUUGGGUUUCCCAUGAUUAAAAGUUAAGCAUUUCAUCAACAUUGUUUCAAUGUCAAUGUUCCGAAGGUGUGGCCCAAAGAUUCUAGAAUAGAGCUUUGGUACGCGCUUUAAUCAACCAUCCAAUCAGCAAGCAGCAUUUUAUUUGAAUUUUCUCCCGGAGGAGCUGGAGCCUCUCGCUGCUGCACUGCAAACGUUAGAGAAGAAGAAAUAGAAGUAUCAGCUUAACAUUUGUAAAGGUAAGUUCGACAUUUCUCAUUUUUUUAUCGGUCACUAUUGAGAAACUAAACUAGAAAAAGUUGUUAAAUGGGUUAUUCCAAGAUGUAGUUCGACCGUGUUGGUGAAAGAACUGAAUUUGUUGUUCGUUAGUGCUAACAUCAUUAUGCUAGUGAGUUAGAUUAGCUAUUAUGUUAAUAUUCGUUUUUAGACUUGAAGUUGGAAAGGUUGCUAUUGAUUCACGGUUAAAUUGUUAUCGAUACGUGGAUGGUUAGUCUAGUGUUGGUUGGUUGGUUACCAUUAGCAGGUAGCAGCUACAUCCAUUUUGAAGAUUGGAGCACCAGAACUAACUGCUAACCGUUAGCUUAUUAGCUUGCAGAGCUCCAGCCCUUGCCGUGACCCAGCUUUAGCUGCUAGCUGCUACCGAAGGAAGCUCUCGACACCUGGGACCGUUGAUCCGCUGAGCUCGGUAGCGAGAGAGCUAUGAAUAUUACCGACACACGUAAAAGAAUGAUCUGCAUAUGCGUUGGCGAAUCUGGUCGUAGAUGUCCUGGCUCUCAACAAAGGCACCAGGCAGGAUUGGGGUUUUUUUGCAUUCCCAUAAGCCUGACUUCCUGAUGUCCACUACACUCUGUUCUCAAUCUUCUCCAGUCUUUUGCAAACUGUGAUGUUCAGAUGUCCUAUAAGCCUGACUUCCUGAUGUCCACUACACUCCGUUCUCAACCUUCUCCGGUAUUCUGCAAACUAUGAAUGCCUCCUUGUGUUGGAUUCAUGAUGUUCACCAUACUGCACGGCCUACUUUUUUUCCUCGCAAGCUAUGGAAAGAAACUCUGUUCAGCUCAUGAAACGGACUGUUCACAUUUUUGGACUUAUGUGGAGGAAGCAGGGUAUCCUGGUAAUUUUAUUUUGCAGCUACUAUGCUCUCGUAUAUAGGCCCAACAAAGAGAGAAAUCUGAACUGGCAAAGCUGCUCUAUAUGCAUCACAGGUCGGUAUUGUUGACCUUCACAAAUCAGUUUCAGUUGUACAUUUAGAUAAUUCCAAACAUUGAUGUCAACACACUGCUGUUCUUGUACCUAAUAAUAACUUUGAGUUAGUCAUGGCAAAAUGUGUGCAAAAUAUGUGAUGGUUGACUUCAGAGUAAACACUCAUGUUUGACACAUUGAACUUGUAGUAGAGUUGUUUGCAUUAAUUGAACAGGCCAUCUUUGUUUUUUUGUAUGUGAAGGUCAUUAACAAGGAAUAAAAUGAUUGUUUUCAUAUUCAACACCUUUGUUA